RNAcentral lists this long non-coding RNA (741 nucleotides) under Ananas comosus (pineapple). RNAcentral's name for it is "long non-coding RNA (ACOM_LNC040901)". The record is from RNAcentral. Lineage: Eukaryota; Viridiplantae; Streptophyta; Magnoliopsida; Poales; Bromeliaceae.
GGAAGGGCAUUUUAGUCCAAGCCCAACUCCCAAAGCCACUUGACUGUUGGGAGUCCCAAAGCAACAGCCCAACAGUGGGAGUUGGGUGGUGCAGGUCUUGGGAGUUGGGUUGUACCCAACUCCCAAGUCCCUGCCUGGGCCAGGCUCGGGAGGGCCUGGCCACACGGGCCGAGCCGUGCCGGGCCGGGCCUGGGUACUCUCUAGGCCCGGCACGGCCUAGGCCUAUGUCGUGCCGGGCUAUCGGGCCGCGGGAGCAAAGCCCAGCACAGCCCGAUUUAACUGGCCGGGCCGGGCUAGCACGGCACGCUACAGUACUCGUGCCGGGCGGGCCGCGAGCCGCCCGGCCCGUUUGACACCCCUACCCCCAUGUAUACCCCUCUAACUAAGGCCAUUUUGCAUAAAAGCCCCUCACCUUUCAUCUCUGUGCACUGCCCUUACUGGGCCUUCUGGCGCUGAGGGACCGGUCUCCCCGACUUGGGACCGGUAGCUUCAGCUCGGGUCACGCGUUCGGGUACCGGUCUCUCCCAGAGAGACCAGUCCUCGGGAGACCGGUUCCUUCCUGAGAGACCGGUUCCCGAGAGCUAUGUUUUCAAGACUUAGCCAAAUUCUGGCCUUUCUCGCUGGGGUCACGUUCAGGGACCGGUUGCAUCAAACUGUUAAGGAUUUUAUAGGUUGGCGAAUUUCGUAAAGUUGUUUGGAGUCUUGAAGAGUUGAUCGCAGAAGUUUUUGAGAAAAGAUUCA